CGAAAGCUAGGGGAGCAAACAGGAUUAGAUACCCUGGUAGUCCUAGCCCUAAACGAUGAUUGCUUGGUGUAGCAGGUACCCAAUCCUGCUGUGCCGCAGCUAACGCGAUAAGCAAUCUGCCUGGGGAGUACGGUCGCAAGGUUGAAACUCAAAGGAAUUGACGGGGGCCCGCACAAGCGGUGGAGCAUGUGGUUCAAUUCGACGCAACGCGAAGAACCUUACCUGGGCUCGAAGCGCAGUGGACCGGGGUAGAAAUAUCCCUUCCCCUUAAAAGGCUGCUGCGGAAGUGCUGCAUGGCUGUCGUCAGCUCGUGUCGUGAGAUGUUGGGUUAAGUCCCGCAACGAGCGCAACCCUUAUCCCUAGUUGCCAUCGGGUCAAGCCGGGCACUCUAGUGAAGCUGCCUGGGAUAACCAGGAGGAAGGUGGGGAUGACGUCAAGUCCUCAUGGCCUUUAUGUCCAGGGCUACACACGUGCUACAAUGGUCGGUACAAACCGUCGCAAACCCGUGAGGGGGAGCUAAUCGGAAAAAGCCGGCCUCAGUUCGGAUUGGAGUCUGCAACUCGACUCCAUGAAGCUGGAAUCGCUAGUAAUCGCGGAUCAGAACGCCGCGGUGAAUACGUUCCCGGGCCUUGUACACACCGCCCGUCACAUCACGAAAGCGGGCCGUACUAGAAGCAGGUGUGCUAACCGCAAGGAGGCAGCCUUCCAAGGUACAGCUCAUGAUUGGGGUGAAGUCGUAACAAGGUAGCCGUA
This 753-nucleotide ribosomal RNA is filed under the name uncultured bacterium. Its description in RNAcentral is "bacterial SSU rRNA". It matches the Rfam family "Bacterial small subunit ribosomal RNA", at positions 754 to 1504 of the family's 1533-position model. The record is from RNAcentral.